RNAcentral lists this ribosomal RNA (492 nucleotides) under uncultured bacterium. Its description in RNAcentral is "partial 16S ribosomal RNA". It matches the Rfam family "Bacterial small subunit ribosomal RNA", at positions 29 to 507 of the family's 1533-position model. The record is from RNAcentral.
AGUGAACGCUGGCGGUAGGCCUAACACAUGCAAGUCGAACGGCAGCACAGUAAGAGCUUGCUCUUACGGGUGGCGAGUGGCGGACGGGUGAGGAAUACAUCGGAAUCUACUUUUUCGUGGGGGAUAACGGAGGGAAACUUACGCUAAUACCGCAUACGACCUACGGGUGAAAGCAGGGGAUCUUCGGACCUUGCGCGAUUGAAUGAGCCGAAGUCGGAUUAGCUAGUUGGCGGGGUAAAGGCCCACCAAGGCGACGAUCCGUAGCUGGUCUGAGAGGAUGAUCAGCCACACUGGAACUGAGACACGGUCCAGACUCCUACGGGAGGCAGCAGUGGGGAAUAUUGGACAAAGGGCGCAAGCCUGAUCCAGCCAUACCGCGUGGGUGAAGAAGGCCUUCGGGUUGUAAAGCCCUUUUGUUGGGAAAGAAAAGCAGCAGGUUAAUACCCCGCUGUUCUGACGGUACCCAAAGAAUAAGCACCGGCUAACUUCGUG